RNA transcript from Pipistrellus kuhlii (Kuhl's pipistrelle), 4435 nucleotides. It is a transcript of the gene named DnaJ heat shock protein family (Hsp40) member C5, with no coding region annotated. The transcript is spliced from 6 exons. The record is from RefSeq and is a predicted model, not a curated record. NCBI's taxonomy places the organism in Eukaryota, Metazoa, Chordata, Mammalia, Chiroptera, Vespertilionidae.
GGGCGCGCGCGCCGGUGCGGAUGCGUGCGUGAGCGUGCGCGCCUCCGCCGCAUCUGCCGGUGCCGCUCCCGCGCCCUCUGCCGCUGCCCCCGCCGCCGCCCCCGCCGCCGCCGCCCCCGCCGUUUCCGCCCGGGGUCCCUGAGGCGCAACCCCGGCUGAGGAGCGCACCGGCCGGCUGCCACCAGCGUCGCGGAGCAGAGCGGGCGGGCGGACGGGCGCGCGGACAGACUAGCCUACCAUGGCCGACCAGCGGCAGCGCUCACUCUCUACCUCUGGGGAAUCGCUGUACCAUGUUCUCGGGCUGGACAAGAACGCAACCUCAGACGACAUUAAGAAGUCCUACCGGAAACUGGCCCUGAAAUAUCACCCGGACAAGAACCCUGACAACCCAGAGGCUGCAGACAAGUUCAAGGAGAUCAACAACGCGCACACCAUCCUCACGGACGCCACGAAGAGGAACAUCUACGACAAGUACGGCUCCCUGGGGCUCUACGUGGCCGAGCAGUUUGGGGAGGAGAACGUGAACACCUACUUCGUGCUGUCCAGCUGGUGGGCAAAGGCCCUGUUUGUCUUCUGCGGGCUCCUCACCUGCUGCUACUGCUGCUGCUGCCUGUGCUGCUGCUUCAACUGCUGCUGCGGGAAGUGCAAGCCCAAGGCGCCCGAGGGCGAGGAGACCGAGUUCUACGUGUCCCCCGAGGACCUGGAGGCGCAGCUGCAGUCGGACGAGCGGGGAGGGCACUGACAUGGGCCAGGAUGUGUGUGGCAGCUGGGCCCGUUGAGGUUGAACGUGGACUCGGAGAGGCCACAGACACGCCGAUUGUCAUACAGCCAGCGUCCGCCACAGAGACCACCCAGCUCACGGCCGAGUCCCACCCCAGCUACCACACCGACGGGUUCAAUUAAGUUCGGGAGACGCUGUGAUGUGCGGAUCAAUCAGCACUGGCCACUUCGACCUUCGCAUCAUGAACUGUAGUCACAGAGGCGGGAGGGAGCCGCUCUGGCCCGGGAAGGACCCUCCGCCUCUGUGCCCGCCCACCCGCCAACCCCAACACGUGAAGUGCGUAGCAUGCAGUAUUUAAAGCAGUUUAGCUACGGUCGCCGUCUUCUGUUUUUCCUUUCUAAUAGCAUGUGUGGGGUCCGUUCCAUGUCUGUCUGUGUUGUGGACGUGCUGCAGCGAGACCGCACUGAGCAAUGGCGGCACCGCCUGGGCUGUCAGGCCGCCGCCAUGAGCUGGCCGCGUGGGGUGGUGUCCCCGCAGUGGAGGGGCCGCCCCGCCCGUGCCCCUGGGCCGGGGCAGGCGCUGCCUGCACAGCUGGGGUCUGUCCAGCGGGGCCUGUGUCCUGUCAGUCCCCGGGGGUUGGUAGCAAGGACAGUUCUUCAGCUGCUGCUCGCCUUGUGUGCAUGGCCUGGUGACGGGCUUUUCGGGAGGAAUGUGUUUGGGGACUGUGGGAGCUCCUGAUCUGCGACCUCAGCCUGGAUCCAGCCUGAGCCCCCGUGCCACGAGCUGGGCCGAUGGCCACCACCAGCGUCUCCCCUCUCCUUUCUCUGAGUCAGCCUCCACGUCCCUCCAGGCCCUGUGGCCUCUUGGUAACCAUUUUGGAUGUCGAAGCACCACAGUAGCAGCCGCAGCCCAGGUCGCCAGUCAGGCCGAGUCCAGGCUGCAGGUGGCGCCUGGCUGCCCAGCCUCCUCUCUGCUUUCUGAGCCCCUGUCCCCCUCUUCCUGCAACUGCUCAGCCAGAGCCCUCAGGGUCCUGAGGAGGUCGCGGGGUCAGAGGCACACUUGGCAUGGGAGAGGUGGCCCCGGGGGCCUGGCGCCCUUGGCUUGUCAGCCAGCAGCCGGACCAGGAUCUCGCUGCUGCUGCUGCUGCUGCUGCUGCUGCUGGGGGCAGAGCCUUUUGUGAACUGCUGCACGUCCGUCCUCCUUUCCGGCCCAGGCCUGGUGGGUGGUGCCCUGCUUCAGGGACUGAGGAGAUGUGGGUUACGAUGUACCAAAUAGCAGGUUCCCUGCUGGCCCUACACCAGCUUCUGGAGGCUCAUGGGGCCCAUGUGGGCCUGAGUCUGCAGAAUGAAUGUAUUCGCUGCUCCUGUGCCGCUGCAUCCCCAGGAGAGUGAAGGACAAACGGGAGCGCUGGGCGACAUGGUUCCCUGGCUCAGACAAACCAGACAUGUUCCUGAAGCCACGUCCUCCCCUGUGGCCCUUGCUGCCCGCCAGGCUGUGCUAGCCAGAGCUGGCGGGGGGGGGGCUGGCCACUGGCAGAACCCUCCGUCCUAGGACCGUCCAGGCUGGCCCUCCUGCAGGCCAGCCUAGGUCCUGGGCAGCUGCUUGGUCCCAUUUUGUUUUUUGCUCAUUGUGGUUAGUGAUCAUGAAGAUGUCCAAGGAGAGGGUAUCUCUGCAUUGUGAUGUUGGGUUAGAACUAAUUUGCUAAAACCAGGCCUCUCCUGAAAGGACAAGAAACUCAUUGUUUGGCCCACCGGGCAACGAGGGAGGCGGUGAGACCAGGCUAUCCCUGUGCCGCCCGUUCGGAGCCUGCGUGGUGGCCGCCGUCCCCGGGAGUGCUCUGGGAAUGGUUUGGGCAGUGAGUGCUGUUCCCCAGAACGAUCCAGAACCCGGCUAAAACCUCCGCCCAGCCAGGCCCUCCAUGUGUGUCCCCGAGUCCCUGCCAGGUGCUGUGGUGGCCUCUCCGAGGCUAAAACCAGCUGAUGGUGACGGUGCUGGGGACCGCGGGUGGCCCGAGGGCAGGCCCUUCCAGAGUGUGACUGGUUGCUUUCAAGGCGAAGGUCCUGGUGCGUGUCCUCUGCUUGCCUGGCCUGUUUGGUGAGCAGAGUUCUCGAGCCUGGAGAGACGCUGGUCCUGCUAAGUGGGGGCAGCCCUGUGCCUUCCAGAGCUGGGCUGGGGGGCCAGUGCUGGUGUCAGACGGCAAGUGGUGUGUGUGGCCCAGGGUGUUGGGGUCUGUGUGAGAGGAAGCCCAUCCGAUUUGCUAAGGGGGCUGGCCUGCCGGGCAGCCAGUGCUGUGGGCGCCCUGAGGGUCCGGCAGCAGGCCCGGUCCCUGCAGGAAGCAUGUCUGACUGCAGCUCUUGUUGUGUAGGUUUCUCUUCUGCUCAGUGCCGUGUCUCGCCUUGUCUUCCUUUUGGCUCUGUUCUCAUUUCAAACUGCUUUAGAUAUUACACUCGGUAUGUGAGCCUCCCUCGCUGUCCCAUCCGUCCAUACAGCUGCCCCGCUGGGAUCUGGUACAGGAAGAGGUCAGAGUGGCUGUGGCUGGAGCAGGCAGUGUCUCCGGGCUGUCAGCCGCUGGGUGUCACGGCCAGGCUCCUGCCAGGACCAUCCUCGGUGUUCUAGCGCCGGCCGUCUGUGCCCAAGAAGCCCACACAGUGCUGCCGGCAUCGGGGCAUGCUCGGCCUCCCGCCACCAGGCUCUCGGGAGGGGCGGGGAAAGGGGCCUGUCUGUCCUUCCUGGCUCUCAUCUCGGCUCAUCUUCCCGGGGCGAUGGUGACGGGGGUGAGCCAGGUGGUGAUCUCAUUCCUUCCUGUAUUCUUAGCUGUGAGCCCGUGCGACCCAGGACUGACCUGCUUGCUUUGUUACUUUGGCUGUGAACCUUCCGCCUAUGGAAUUGGCGAAAGCUACAUUUUUACAGUCCUGCCAGGCACGGUUAGUGCCGUCUGUGCUGCAGGUGUGGACAGUGGUGUAUCUCCGUGUGUGUACAUAUGUGUAUGUAUAUAUCGUGCAGCAGGCCGCCUGCUGCUGUCCAGGGGCAGUGCAGCAAGUACAAUAAAGGUUGGCUCCAAACAGCCUGCUUCUGGGCGAGGCCGGGCGGGGGGUCCUGAGAGCCCUUCUGCUGGCUGCUCAGGGACAGCGCCGACGCCACCGCACACCUAGAGUUUGGGCAGGUGCCGGGCGUGUGCCUGAGCCACUGCAGUGUCGGCUUUUCGGGGCGGGUGCCCAUCACAGUCACACGUCCUGUGUGACAUCUGGGCGGUGUAGAAACCCAUUCCACUUUGGAACAUGUAAAACCAAUUUUCUAAGCAUCAGAUACAAUCAGUGACCAACUGCGUCCACAGUCUCUGUGGGACCACAGAUGGGCCCAGGGCUGCGGAGCGGAGCAGGGCCACGCCGCCCCUCCAGGAAGAGCGAGCGGCCUGGGCCUGGCCACACCUUAGGCUUUGUUUCCCUGGAGGACGGACUCAUGUUUCACACUAAGGGAGGGAGGCGGUUUGCACUGAACUGUAUUGACGGUUUUUAAAACUUAAGUGCGAUGUGUGGGAAGCAUUGUCCGCACUGGCUUUGUCCUGGGAGCAGACCUGGCGGAGCCGGGGUGCCUCAGAGUGGAUGAGGGCCAGGUGGGAGGGUUAGGAUGUUCCCCACAGUGACCUCCAUCUUGUAUGUCUGAAUGUUGACCUAGAAUAAAGAUAACUGUUGUAAAAUAAAUGUUUUCACUGCA